UACGGGGGGGGCAAGCGUUGUUCGGAAUUACUGGGCGUAAAGGGCGCGUAGGCGGCCAUCUAAGUCAGACGUGAAAUCCCUCGGCUCAACCGAGGAACUGCGUCUGAUACUGGAAGGCUUGAAUCCGGGAGAGGGAUGUGGAAUUCCAGGUGUAGCGGUGAAAUGCGUAGAUAUCAGGAGGAACACCUGUGGCGAAAGCGGCUCACUGGACCACAACUGACGCUGAGGCGCGAAAGCUAGGGGAGCAAACAGG
Molecule: ribosomal RNA, 253 nt
Filed under: uncultured bacterium
Lineage: Bacteria
Description: partial 16S ribosomal RNA
Rfam family: Bacterial small subunit ribosomal RNA
Source: RNAcentral